Molecule: ribosomal RNA, 524 nt
Filed under: uncultured Gammaproteobacteria bacterium
Lineage: Bacteria; Pseudomonadati; Pseudomonadota; Gammaproteobacteria
Description: bacterial SSU rRNA
Rfam family: Bacterial small subunit ribosomal RNA
Source: RNAcentral
CCUGGGGAGUGCAGCCGCAAGGUUAAAACUCAAAUGAAUUGACGGGGGCCCGCACAAGCGGUGGAGCAUGUUGUUUAAUUCGAUGCAACGCGAAGAACCUUACCACCCCUUGACAUACUCGGAACUUGGCAGAGAUGCCUUGGUGCCUUCGGGAACCGAGAUACAGGUGCUGCAUGGCUGUCGUCAGCUCGUGUCGUGAGAUGUUGGGUUAAGUCCCGUAACGAGCGCAACCCUUAUCCUUAUUUGCCAGCGGGUCAUGCCGGGAACUCUAAGGAGACUGCCGGUGACAAACCGGAGGAAGGCGGGGACGAGGUCAAGUCAUCAUGGCCCUUACGGGGUGGGCUACAAACGUGCUACAAUGGGGAGUACAAAGGGCAGCAAGUCAGCGAUGGCAAGCGAAUCCCAAAAAGCUUCUCGUAGUCCGGAUAGGAGUCUGCAACUCGACUCCUUGAAGUCGGAAUCGCUAGUAAUCGCGAAUCAGAAUGUCGCGGUGAAUACGUUCCCGGGCCUUGCACACACCGCCC